UUUUUUUUUUUUUUUUAAGAUCAAGGAAUGACAGUAAUUAAAAGUAACUGCUCUUUAGAAAACCUUUAUUGGAAUUUAACAGAAAAUAAAGUUUAAAGGGUUCACAUUUUCCCUUAAUGCCAUUCUUUCCAUCUUGACUAUAAUAUAAUCUAGUAAGAAGGGCCUGGUUUCCAUCCCAUAUUCUUCAUUAUUGAUUUUCGGGGAGAUAACUUGCAGCUAGGCUGGAAGGCCAUAAAAUAGCAGUUGAUAAUACUAGGCUGAAAUUUUGGAGAGGAGGGAGCGGUUUGCUCAUUAGCCCAAUCCAUUUUAUCCCUAAGCCAUCAGAAAGGUCUUCAGCAUUGAUUGUAUCCAAGCAUUAGAGUGAAGUUUUGACUCUUAACACGGUGCUUCUCAAACUAUGUAUGUAUGAAAAUGCAGAUUCUGAUUUCAGCAGGUCUGGGAUGCGUCCUGAUGGUUCAUCUCUAAAAGCUCCCGCAUGAUCGCGCAAAUGCUGAUGUCUGUGGCCUGCAUUUGUGGUAGUUAGGCCUGUGGGGCUUCGGGCUGCGGAUGAGGUGAUAACACAAGCAGGUGUAAGCCCCAGAAAUUGUUGCCACAAAAGAUAGAAUUUAGUAUUUUUUUAGAUAGCUUUUUCAAGGUUAUGAUCGGGGAUGCAGACUGGUCUUGAAGGCUUCAAAGUAAAGGUCAAAGGUUUUUCAGGAGUCAAGUGUAGAAUUUUGCUUCAUUUGGAGCUUUUUUUAGAUACAGGAAAUUUGUGCUUUGGGGAGGAAGAUUUAUAUUUUUAAAUAGGCAGACAGUUAUGUAUUUCAUGUUGUAAAGAAACUUACUAAAUAAGAGGCCAUGUGAACCUUUUCCCAACAGUAGUGUGUGUGGAUUAUGUUCUCUUUUUUAGCAUAAAACUAAAUUUUCAGGUAUUAGAAAUAUAUCUAGUCUGUAAAUAAAUCUUGCCUUCUAAGUUAAGGAGCUUCACUAUUUUACUAAUAACCAUUGUAGACAGACUACUCCUGGCAGUGAAGUUAGCAAUACCAAACAAAGUCGUAGCUGACAGAUGUGACUUGUCAUUGUAGUAAAGAUCUCUGGUUACUUUGCUGUUAAUUGUUGAGAAUUUCUGUUUUAUCUUAAAAUGGGGUCUGAAAGAUGUUGAAUAAUUUGGUUCUCUAAAAAUGAGUUUUUCUUAGCCUUCCGUUUCCUUUAUGUCUUAAAUACUCUUCAUAUGAAUUGGACUCAUCCAGAGCACUUAAUACAGCCCGGAGUUAAGUAACGGGUGUUUUGAAUUGAUAUAUGAAAAUGUGUCGAUGGCUUGAUCUGUAAAACAAAUCUGGGCCUUAGUUUGUGAUGGUCUGAUGAAUGAUACGUUUAUUA
RNAcentral lists this long non-coding RNA (1359 nucleotides) under Canis lupus familiaris (dog). RNAcentral's name for it is "lncRNA (ENSCAFG00845009020.1)". The record is from RNAcentral. Lineage: Eukaryota; Metazoa; Chordata; Mammalia; Carnivora; Canidae.